GAUGAACGCUAGCGGCAGGCCUAACACAUGCAAGUCGAGGGGUAGCAGAAUUAAGCUUGCUUAAUUGCUGACGACCGGCGCACGGGUGCGUAACGCGUAUGCAACCUACCUUAUACUGGGGUAUAGCCCGGAGAAAUUCGGAUUAAUCCCCCAUAGUACUAAUGAAUCGCAUGGUUUAUUAGUUAAAGCAUUGCGGUAUAAGAUGGGCAUGCGCCCUAUUAGCUAGAUGGUGAGGUAACGGCUCACCAUGGCUACGAUAGGUAGGGGGCCUGAGAGGGUGGUCCCCCACACUGGUACUGAGACACGGACCAGACUCCUACGGGAGGCAGCAGUGAGGAAUAUUGGUCAAUGGGCGCAAGCCUGAACCAGCCAUGCCGCGUGCAGGAAGAAUGCCCUAUGGGUUGUAAACUGCUUUUAUUUGGGAAUAAACCUCUUUACGUGUAGAGAGCUGAAGGUACCAAAUGAAUAAGCACCGGCUAACUCCGUGCCAGCAGCCGCAGUAA
This 503-nucleotide ribosomal RNA is filed under the name uncultured bacterium. RNAcentral describes it as "partial 16S ribosomal RNA". It matches the Rfam family "Bacterial small subunit ribosomal RNA", at positions 28 to 523 of the family's 1533-position model. The record is from RNAcentral.